RNAcentral lists this ribosomal RNA (495 nucleotides) under uncultured bacterium. RNAcentral describes it as "partial 16S ribosomal RNA". It matches the Rfam family "Bacterial small subunit ribosomal RNA", at positions 30 to 523 of the family's 1533-position model. The record is from RNAcentral.
AUUGAACGCUGGCGGAAUGCUUACACAUGCAAGUCGAACGGUAGAGGGGGCAACCCCUCGAGAGUGGCGAACGGGUGAGUAAUAUAUCGGAACGUGCCCAGUCGUGGGGGAUAACGUAGCGAAAGUUACGCUAAUACCGCAUACGAUCUACGGAUGAAAGCGGGGGAUCGCAAGACCUCGCGCGAUUGGAGCGGCCGAUAUCAGAUUAGGUAGGUGGUGGGGUAAAGGCUCACCAAGCCAACGAUCUGUAGCUGGUCUGAGAGGACGACCAGCCACACUGGAACUGAGACACGGUCCAGACUCCUACGGGAGGCAGCAGUGGGGAAUUUUGGACAAUGGACGCAAGUCUGAUCCAGCCAUUCCGCGUGCAGGAUGAAGGCCCUCGGGUUGUAAAUUGCUUUUGUACGGAACGAAAAGGUUUCCAUUAAUACUGGGAGCUCAUGACGGUACCGUAAGAAUAAGCACCGGCUAACUACGUGCCAGCAGCCGCGGUAA